GAUGAACGCUGGCGGCGUGCCUAAUACAUGCAAGUCGAGCGAACAGACGAGGAGCUUGCUCCUCUGACGUUAGCGGCGGACGGGUGAGUAACACGUGGAUAACCUACCUAUAAGACUGGGAUAACUUCGGGAAACCGGAGCUAAUACCGGAUAAUAUAUUGAACCGCAUGGUUCAAUAGUGAAAGACGGUUUUGCUGUCACUUAUAGAUGGAUCCGCGCCGCAUUAGCUAGUUGGUAAGGUAACGGCUUACCAAGGCGACGAUGCGUAGCCGACCUGAGAGGGUGAUCGGCCACACUGGAGCUGAGACACGGUCCAGACUCCUACGGGAGGCAGCAGUAGGGAAUCUUCCGCAAUGGGCGAAAGCCUGACGGAGCAACGCCGCGUGAGUGAUGAAGGUCUUCGGAUCGUAAAACUCUGUUAUUAGGGAAGAACAAAUGUGUAAGUAACUAUGCACGUCUGGACGGUACCUAAUCAGAAAACCACGGCUAACUACGU
RNAcentral lists this ribosomal RNA (496 nucleotides) under uncultured bacterium. RNAcentral's name for it is "partial 16S ribosomal RNA". It matches the Rfam family "Bacterial small subunit ribosomal RNA", at positions 28 to 506 of the family's 1533-position model. The record is from RNAcentral.